UUUUGUUUUCUAUAAUUAACAUUGCUAACUUGCAAUACUUAUCAUAAUUAUCAUGCUCCCACUAACAUGAUGAUUAUUAGCAUAACACUUAUGCUCCCACUAGCUUUGACAUGUACUCAGAAAUCAGCUGGACUUCUAGAAAUCAAUACUUCAUUGACUUUCUUACCAAAGUUCAGAUUUCUGAUACUAGAUUGUUUUGAUAAAACUUUAUCAAAAUCAUACACCUUCCCUUAGAUAGCACACUUGUGUGUCUAAACAAUUAUGAAGAGGGAUGCCGUAAUCAUAAUGGUUAGACCUUUUUGCCACUUCUCACAAGUCCAGGUUAGUGUGCCGGUAAACCACACACGCUCCACUAACGACUUUGAGAAUGCAAAUAUCACAAUUGCUAUCUAGCUAAAAUCUACUUAGUGAAAGUGUUUCCUCACCAUCAUUUUCAUGAAUCGGAGAGAAACCUUAUGACACUUAGAUUUAAUGGCGUAUGUGUUCUUAUCCAUGUGAAUUGUCAAAACCAUAGUCACAAGACAAGGAUAAUGACAAAUCCAAACUCAUAUGGAUUGAACUCAAUCUUAAUUUCUUGCCACCUGGCAGCUCAAGGGCCUGCCAUUGCUUCCAAGUUGUUGUGCAACAAAUUGAGAACUCUAAGAACUCAUAUGCAAAGCCAACUUUAACUGGAAUGGGCACAGAAUAUGUCAACACGAUAGGUUAUAAACCUCAAGUCGUGUGCUAGUGAAGAACUUCAGGUUUUAUUCUUGAUUAGUUCUUGAGACUUUCAAGACCUUUAAGACUCCCACUGUCCUCUUGACCUAUAAGACUUCCUUGUCAAAUAUUCAAGAGAUAGUGUGGAUUCUAAUCAAGACAAACACUUCACACAAUUGGCCUAAGUUGGUCUUUGUUUUAUCCAAAACAUCACAACUUACCAAUUUCAAAUGUACAAGAGUAGAAAACUUUUACUCUUACAUUUGACAAGUGUUUUAAACCUUCUUUAAGACAUGUCACUCAAGUUACAAUCUUGGAGUAUGACUCUAAGAAUUUUUUUUUGGAACGAAGUAUGAAUCAUCUUCUUGAUUUAACCACUUCAACAAUUCAUAGCUCCUCUUCUUAGCUAUAAGAAGGCACUUAGAGGAUGAAUUGUGAUAAGGUCUCUAAAUCAUUAAGAUGAUCAUAAAAACUGAUACUAAAGUACUCUCCCAUCUUUUCAGAUUUGAGAAACUUUUAUCCUUCUACCUAAUUUGAUUCUUCUUAUUCGCUCUGCCAUACAUUGGAACCUUUUCCAAUGUCUCAGAAUUACACUUAAGCUUGUAAGUAUAACCAUAUUUACUGAGCUAUAGUAAAUUAUGACGAAUAAUCUUAUCGAUCUUUUGUGGUGGACUUGACCAGUGCACAAGACUGUGUACUCGAUCCCUUAGUCCUUCACUUGACUCACACAUCCAUGUGAACAAGUAGUUAGUCUUAAUUUUCCAAUACUUGAAACUUCUCAUUCAUCAUGCUAUACAACUUGCAUGAUUCCAAGUUCUGGUCCAAUUGAAACUUGGGUGAUGAGAAUCUUUCCUUAUUUGGUAAAUUUAGACAUUACCACAAAUGAAAGAAUCAAUAUCAUAUUUCCACUCUUGCUAUUAAUGGAAUCAUAUAAGCAACAAUCACUACUAGAAUAUAGGCCUUUAAUGACACGCAAACCAUGACACGCAGUGAUUUACGAUACGGAAAAUCAUGUGCCCUAAAAAUAAUGUCAUCUCUUCUAAAAUUUGAAGGAUUUAGAACACACAUUUUUGAGUGCCCUUAAAAUUAGUGUCAAAACGAGAAAAAAUAAAAACGGAGGGCACUUAGCAUAAAGAGUGUGUCGUCUACGCAUGUCACUUUAUAAAAUUUUCAUCAAACUCGCGUUCUCCAUCUUUAAUAGUUAACGAGGGAAAUCAAAUCCCAAAAAAUUAACCCCCCUGGGCAUUGUUCUCUCACAUCUUCUACCAGUCGAAACCCCUUUCUCUUUUCCAUGACCUAAAACUCAUUUCAUUUCCUACUUCCACCUUGAAAGAAUCGACAGAAAGCUAGGGUACCAUCAAAAUCGGCGGUAGCUAUAGAAAACACCAAACCACCUUAAAAGCAAUCAAAGGUUUAGGGCUGUGUAAAUGUAUAUCGGUAACGAAAUUAUGCUCAAGAUAAACAGAUGAAGGACCUCUCGAGAGCCAUGAAAGAGCUACUCAAUGAAAAGACUCAAUCUAUUGAGAAGAUGAUACAACGAUCCCAUGAAUCUUAAGGAAAGCAACACCAACAGGAGGCUUAAUCGGAGUUGUGCCAUUGGUCUACUACAGACGUUGACAUUUCCUCUAGUGAGCAACCCCAACUAUAUACUCCAUUCCUCACUAAACCAAGGGUUUUAGCAGAUCUAAGGGAGACAAAUACAAAUUUCUCUGAUCAGAUUGAUAAAAUUCACAUCGGGAUUCCUAGGGCACCAUUAUCGUUGCUGGACUUCAAGGCGGAAGAAAAUGAUGUUGUGGAGAUCGUCUCCCAACGAUCAUAAUUUAUGCUUUCCUAUUACGUAGCCACCGUCAUCAUUGCUCCGGAAGAAAAUCCUGCUAAGACAUCGACCUCUAUUUCUACACCAUUGUCGUUGUCUAACAAGGAUGCCUGGCAUACCUUUAGUUUCUCGUGAAGUCAAGUAUGUAAUCUUUUUUCAUAGAAUCCAUCCAGAAUAGGGCUUUUUAAAGAGGAAGCCAAAGGAUGAAUUCAUCAUGGAUCGGAGGAUCACCUCAUCUGAUGACGCAGCUCAACAAGAUCUAGUAUCUGAAAUUCGCGGUGAGAUCAAAAUCGUUAACUCUGCUUUAUCAUCGAACGAAGCAGAUCAUGCUCUAGUAAAACGUUCGAUUCAUAUCCUCUCCGAGCUCGUGAAAAAUGGUAUGAAUCUGCCCUUAAUUCUUUUGUGUUUCAGUUUCAUGUUUCUCGGAACACAUUAUCUUUUACAAGUUGGUGCUGUUGAAUUUGUGGUAGUAGUUGGCGUUGAUAUUUGUUUAUGAGGUGGUGUCCAAUAGUUAUUAGAUUGGCUUGUUAUUGUGAAAAAACACUAUCGAAAGAAGAUAUAUUAAAAAUCAUGCUUGUAGUGGAAAAUUUAAUUGCUUUUCAUGAUUGUCUAUUUCCCCUCCUGAAGUGCGUUAGGCACCAUGAUUCCAUUAGUCGCCCAAUUAGAAUUGAUUAAAGUGGUUUGGCGGCAUGCCAUGUUGGUUUACUUUUUGGUGGAUUUACUAGUUCAUACCAUGCUCUUAGAUGCUUAUUGAGGAAGUGGAGAAAGAAAGAAACACCAUUCAACGCGUAAGUUACUGUGCAAUAAAUAUAGUUAGUUCCAAGAACAAGAUUUAUAUUCUUGAAUUUAAGUUCAAGUAUACAAUAUCAUAUCUAGUUCACAUAUGUAACUUUCUUAAUGGUGAUGAUGGAGCAGAAUUUUAGCUGGUUCAAUUGCGGGUCUGUCUUUCUCCAUCCAGACUAGGGCUUUUUAAAGAGGAAGCCAGAGGACGAAUUCAUCAUGGAUCGGAGGAUCACCUCAUCUGAUGAGGCAUCUCAACAUGAUCUAGUAUCUGAAAUUCGCGGUGAGAUAGAUAAUUAAAUUGUCAAGUAACCUAUGUUUUGUAUCGUGUAAGAAGCAAGUUUUCAAAAUUUAGUUUUUUUUUCUGCUCAACAGUGUGCUUAUAAUUCUGCAAAAUCAAAGAAAAAGUUCACCCUUUGUGGAAGCUCAUGGAGACACGGGGAUUCAUUACUCUUGCUUUAUGAUGUGUUCAACAAUUUUAAGUCAUGUAUGAUUUUGUAAUGCGACCCAAAAUCUUAACAAAAUCAUACUAAGAUUUUUAUCAAAAAAUUGGCCGUGUUACUAAACCUGUAUACAAUGCUAUAAGGAAAUGUUGUAGAGGUUCCCUAGUAGAUAUUGCAUCACUCUCUUCUUACCCAUCAACCAUAAACGACUCUGAAUUUAAUGAUUUACAAGAAUACCCUUCUACCAAUACCCUGUUUAAAAAUCCAAUCAUCCACAAAAUCAUGUUUGGAUCAUAACGCAUACUCCACAUCAGCAACAUUCAGGAAAACAUUCCUACUUUAUUUAUCUUUGACUUUUGUAGCCUUUGUUGUCCUUUGUCUUUAAAAGUUUAUGGAUGCGCCAUUUAAGACUAGCUGGCAUGUAGUGAUUGGAGUUGUUUCGUCAACAACUUUUCUAUCUUCAUUUAUUGGAAUCUUUCAGGUAGGUCAUGUGAUCUAACUACUCAUGUGUAUCUAAAUAUUUGUAUUUAUAUCUAAGUAUGUAUUUUUUUUUUAAUUUAAGGGGUUGAUUUGCUUGCAUAGACAAGCGACAUCACAAGACCACAAGUUGGUGUACUGAUUUGCAGGUGGAUUAGCUGCAUUAUUAGUGCUUUGGGAGAAGAAAGGAAGAAGAUGAGAACUUGGAUUGUUUGUUCUUCCAUGUGCUGGGGAAUCUUUGUUGUAUAUAUUAGUCAACUUCCUUGUUCUUCCAGAUAUCAAAAAUGCUGAGGUACUAAACUAAAUUAUGCGUUCUACCCAAAAAAAUUGAGAAAUUACAUUUUUGGUCUCUGAUUAUAGCUGGUUUUUGCAAUUUUGAUUCUAAAAAGUUUUUUCUUGCAAUUUUUGGUCCUUAUUUGAGGUUUCUGUAACAAUAUGGAUCAAUAAAAUUUGUUGUUUUGGGGACUGUAUGGACAAUGUUUUCUAACAUUGGAAGCUUAACUGAUAUGUUAUUUCUAACUUUUUUUUUAUUAAUUUACAAUAAAAAAAACUUGGAUUUGAAAAUAAUUUAUAGGUUAAAUAUGUGUAUGAAUUUAAGAAAGAGUUGUUUUAUUCAAGUGUUUUUGCUAACACCAUGAAAUGGUAAAACGUCAGUCAUUUAAGUGAUUGUAGCUUUUAGCAUUUGCAUAUACCAGAUGUUGCUAUUCAACUUCUUAUACCUAAUUAACCGUCUCUCCCAUUCCAUUCACAGUCUAUAAAACAAUGGAUGUCGGUUCAUAAAUGUAAAAGUUGAAUUUUAUUUUUGUUUAUAUAGAAACUCUGUAAAUUGUUGAUUUAUAUGCUUUGUAGAGAAUGGACACUUCUCUCCUGAUAAAUGAAGAUUUUCACUAUCAUUUUUGUGUUAUGAUUACUGUCAUGUUUCUCAUACUCCACCUGUAAGAGUAAGAACUGGUGGUUUUCAAGAUCCAGGUCCUAGUCAUCAAGGAGAAAGUAGUGAGAAUAAUAUAGUAACAAAAAUUUAUGAUAAUCUUUGGAAAGUUUUUGAUGGUUAGUGAUAAUUUUUGCCUUUUUUUUAAUUACAGUCAUGUUCCUCAUACUCCACCUGUAAGAGUAAGAAUUAAUGGUUAGUGAUAAUUUUUGGCUUUUAUAUUUUUAUUUUACAGUAACAGAAAUUUAACCACAUUAAAAUUAAACUAUGCAUGGUGCAGGAAUGUCUGAUAAUCUUUGUAAAGUUUUCGAUGAUGCUCACAUGUCAUCAAGAGCUUAUUAGAUUCAGAUUCAUCGUCAUAAUAAUUAAUCAUUCUCUUCUCCACCUCCACCUCAAAUGGAUGAAUUACCCCUGUCAUGACCAUUGAUGUAGGAGGGUCCAGAUCAUAUCCUGUUCAGACAACAAUAGGGUCCUCACCGGACCCCACAUCAUCUACUGGAUCUUUUGUAUAUGAUGUGGAAACGGAAACACCUGCCACAUUCUUUCAAGAUCGUCAUGGCUUUGGCUUUGACAACAGUGGAGCUUUAUCUGAUAUUCUAGAAGUUGAUGAUGCUGAUGUUGAUGAUAGAGUAAGUUUCUAUUUCUUUGCUUAAAUUUACCAUCAACUUGUUUUUUUCUUUUUCUUUUAAAAAGGAUUAAAUGUACAUUCUUUGACUUUUUUAUAGCAGUGUUGUGUUCUUAUACUUAUAUUACUACUAAAAUUCUAAGUAAUGUCAUCCCAGUAUAAAUUAAGCAAUACUUACUGCUAUAAGUGUAACUGGGCUGAUUUUUCAACUCACUACUAUUGCAUUCAUAUUUCAAUUUUAGGAGCUGGCCUUUAUUGAAGAGGAUGUUAUUGGCGGUUCACCAAAGAAGUAAGUGGAGUUUCUAGCAUUGUAUUAUUGUUAAUUGCUAUUUGUUUUAGACUGGAAAAGAAGAAGAGAUUAUUUUCUUUUAUGCACUGUGCUGUAUACAAAAAAGUUUACCAUUUUUAUAUAUGCGAAAAUCUUUAGUCUAAAAUAGAAACAUUUGGUGAAUAAAAAAACUAAUGAAAUCAUGUCAAAAAGCCCUGAAACAAAAGUAAAGAUUCUAUAAUAAGAAAUUAAUGCUAAUUUUUGUAUUAGGCUGAGUGCAGGUUGAUUCAAAGGAUUGAUGUCCAUGUCAAGGUAACCAACUUGUACCUCUUUAAUUAGAUGUCAACAACAUGAACAUAUGAGUGAUAUUCUAAUAUUUUUGUGUAUGUUUCCAGAACCUUUACUGGGCAGACAGUGGUGAUAUGUUAGCAAUUUCUAGUGAUUCAUCAUUUUAUAUACUACAGUACCAUGCUAUUUUUCAUGUAGCACAUUUAUUUUAUUGUAAACAGUUUAUGGAUAUAGUCAAAGAGCUUAGUACUAAGGAGCCAAAACGAAAGAUAUUGUCCUGCUCUUUUUAGAAAGGUUAGCAAAAUUGUCUAAAUAUUUAUCAUACUUAUAAUAGUUUAUUAAUUAAUCCAAAUUCCAAAUUCCAGAUUUAUUAUAUCUUUUUUACCAUUUAGGAGGAUCUUGAGAAAUCUCUAGCAAAAGCUUCUACUCAAAUUUAUUCUAUCUUUUUUGGGGUGACUUUGUUGAUUGGUAUGUUUUUUGGGUACUAAUACCAUGUAUUUUUUUGUGUCUUCUUUUUACAAUAUGAAGGAAGGAAUAUUCAAAGUUGGUGUUUGAUUGUUUUUCUUUUGUGUAAAUGCAGUCAGGUUCUCCAGAAUAAGUAGAGUGUCGUGACUUAAAGCUUGCUGUUCCUGGAACUUAUUGUGCAGGUAUAAUAGUAAUAUUAUGAAAAUGGAUUUAGUUUCUGAUGAAAGAGUUGGAUGAGAUGGAAAAGCUGAAUGUCAGGUUGUCAGUUGCAGUGGAAGAGGUAAAAUUCAGAAUAUUUAUCUAUCACACGACCUACAGCUUUCUCUCUUUUCUAACACCCCCUCAAACUCAAGAGGGUAUGCUUGUGCUUGUAUGUUGUAAUUAAUUGUGUGAUUUGGAAAUGUGACAUAAUAUUUAUCUAUCACAUGACCUACAGGUUGCAUUUGUCAAAUUUGUUACAUGCACACUCAUAUGACUUGAUUACUUGACUUUUUCUCAGGUUUUUCUGUUACAUGUUUGUUCUGCUUUCAAUGUCAUUGGGAGGGAUAUUUUUGUAAUUCUUUUAUGGUGUUGAUUCAAAGUAACAGAUAUAAGUAUGUCAUUCCCACAACCUUAUACCCUGAAUAAAUAGAAUUAUUAUAUAAGACAUGAAUAAAAAGUAGCGAGCAUUUUAGAACACCUAUUUGAAUAAUUUGCAUCUUGGACAUAUGUAUAUAUACUUUGUAUUGAGAUUUAAGAACAAUUUUCAAUUUGCAGGUAUGCUAUAUGUGGGGAUUUAACGCUGAAAAAAGAUAGUAGCUACAAGACCAUCUACUAAAGCAAGGUUGGUGUAAGAGUUGAUGACGAGAUCAUUGUUCCAAUACCUUCAGUGAGUUAUGAUGGUGUCUCUUAAAAGCAAUGUAGUAUUAGGUUAUAUAGUUAGGGAUGAUUAUUUGUAUUUGACAUGUUAGUGCAAUGAAUUAUCUUUCUUAUUUGUUGUAUUUUACUUUGUAUUUUGUAUGACAUUAACUAUUGUGCAAUGGAUUGUAUUUUUUGUAUAUGGUAUUUAAUUUUCUAUUAUGAGAAAUUAAAUGCAAAAUUAAUUUAAAAAUUAAUAAAUAUAUAAAUUUUUUUUAAACAUUUAAAUUUACGAUACGCAAAAAUGUGUGUCAUCUUCAUUUAUGACAUGGCCUUUCUUGACAGGGGCUUUUUUGAUACGCAUUAUGUGUUAUUAACACACACGUCGUAAGGUUACGACACGCGAAUGCAUGUCGUCUUCCUUUAUGACAGGGCCUUCCUUGAUACGCAUUGCGUGUCGUAAAUGCACGUCGUAAUUGUGCGUCGUAAAUGAGCGUCGUAAAUGCGCGUCGUCUCUCUUUAUGACAGGGCCUUCCUUGACGCACAUUUGCGCGUCGUCUGAGCCUUUUACGACGCGCAAUGAGCGUCGUAAAAGGCUGUUUUUCUAGUAGUGAAUUUUUCCUCAAAUGCGAUUGUAACGAUAUUUUAAAAUAAAUAAAAUCAAAAAUUUUCUUUUAUUUUAAAACUUUGCGGAAAAACUUAUCCUUACAAUCCAUACGAAAACUUGUUGUUAUCUAUUCCUAAGCGAUAUCUCAUAACUCCUAACAAGUAGCUCAAGAAUCCGAUAUUCAAACUAUGAGAUAGAAAUCCAUCUACGCGAUCAGAUUUAACAUAUUUUUCCUUUAAGUUUCUUUACUUUUCUUUGAUUCUUAAAACAGCAACAUGUGAGCCAGUCACAUCAUAUAUCAAGAAUCUCAUAAUAGAAACUUAGGAGAGUUAGAUAGUGGACUUCACCUGAAGUAGAGUCAAACUUGUUGACUUUAACACCCUUAGGUAAAUUGGCAGCUUCGCAACCAAUGCCCUUUCCUUUGCCAAUUCAACAUAUGGACGCUUUGGUAAUGGAAUAUUUGAAGAGGGAUGUCGUAAUCCAAGCUAUAAAAUAUGAAAUAUUAAGGCUAGGACCCAACAAACUAUUUUAUAACCUAGAAGAGGGAUGUCGUAAUCCAAGCUAUAAAAUAUUUGAACGUGGAUGAAUGACGAUUCACCAAUUUCCACCAAGAUAAACGAAAUGUAUUAUUAGGUUUUAAUUGAUUUUAAAACUCCUAGAUCUUUGAGAUUCAUUGAACUAUUCAAUGGCAUGUUUCAAUCUCGAGUGUGCCCUUUAGGUUUUGUGACUGGGAUGCCGAGGAUCACAAAACAAGGUGUGAAGUAACCAUGCAAAUUACUUGGUACCCUUAAGUGUUUACCCCUCAAUUGAUGUGCCGGUUAACCACACACGCUCCAUCGAUACUAUGAUAAACAUUAAGUUACUCUUUGCAUACCUUGUUAAAUACGAGUUAGUGUGUUGGUUAACCACACACGCUCCACUAACCGACUUAAACAAAGUGCAAGGUGUAAUUUCAUGGAUUAGCACCUUAUUCACAUUUUCCUAAGUAACUAAGAUUGGGUAUUAUUAAGAGUUUAGUUACUUAGUAUUUAUCAUUAAUACUUUUAAUGAAGGGAGAAUUCUAGUCCUGUCAAACCCGUUCGGCUAACGACCCUCCACCAGUCAAGCAAGCGGUGGGUGAGAGUGGACACCCAUUAAGUUGCCAUUUUAUAGGCAACAACCUUAUACCCACCUUAUAGACCGGCUUCGUGAAUGAGGCGUACUAGCGGUAAGACUGACUUUACUCUUAUACAUAUAUAUAUUAUUAACUUAUAAUAUUAUAAAGUAUAAGGGUUGAAUUUUAACUUUUAAAAUUCUAAGGGCUAACUUGGAAUUAAAGUAUUCAUAAGAGAAAACUUUUCAAAUUCCAAAACUUGAGGGCAAGUUUUGAAACUAUUCAAAACUAAUUAAUUCCAUAACUUAUGUGUUUAAAAUAGUUUUAAUCCAAAAACUCUUCAAGUUCCAUAACUUGAGGACAAGUUAUGCAAGACUUUAAACUAAUAAAAUAAUUAACUUUUCUUUAUUUUAUAACUUAUGGAAUGAAUUAGGGUUACACUUUUUAUUUAUUUAUUAUUUUAUGAAGAGACUCCUGGUCCUCCAUAACUUGAGGACAANGAGUCAUAAAACCAUUUAAUUAGAACUAGACUCUUCAUUUUGUAACCUUUGCCAACUUUUAUGAGUUUUAUGAAACUUAAAUGUGACUUUUCAUAUAACUUGAGGACAAGUUACAAAAACACAUUUUAGAAUCAACUCUUAGAUUAAUUUGGAUUGAAAACAACUAUUUCUCUCAACUUUUCUAUUAAUCAAAGCAACUCAUAAGAACAAGAUAAUUCAAAUCAAACUUUUUCAUGUAAUUAGUAUAAACCUUAAACUAAUACAUAACAUGAAUCUAUUGAUAAUUAUCUUUGAAAUUGGAAUAGCAUGAACAUUACCACAUCAAAACCAAGUUUAUAAGUCCAAAAACAUCUUAGGGUAAUGUUCCUAGUCCAAUUCCAGCCAAGAAAAUCGAAUUUAUGCUGUCUGGGGGUCCAACUCGUCGAGUGCACAAACCAACUCGGUGAGUUGGAUGCAUAUUUCCUUGGACUUGGAAAUUCCAUUCAUGGACUCGGCGAGUCUCUGGGCAGACAGCAUCAAAACUCGAUUUUUCAGCUACUUUUGCAAGUAUAACAAGAAAACAAGCCUAGGCGCUGAUACCACUGUCGGGUUUUGAGCAUUCUAUCACUCCUAAGUGUACAGGCAACCCUAAAUACUUUGGAUCUAUGUUUGCCCUAUUAUACAUACAAAUAUGAACAUCCAAGGUAUUAUCCUAAUCUAGCAUACAAAACAAUGAAUAUAACAAGAUACAAUAUAUACCUCUUUCUUGUAGAAAGUCUUCAUGAAGCUUGAUUGCCAAGUGCCUCAAGUGUGACACCUCAAAUGGUUCACACAACACCAAAUACACUUGGAAUAACUUGAGAGAAUUCUACAUUUCAUGAAAAUCGGCUAGCCCUUUCUUACUCUCUCUAGUGCUGAUUUUGGUCAAGAAUAAGAUGCAUAUAUAGUUAGGGUUACACCAUGUAAACCCUAAUUGACAUGGCCUUUCAUUUCCAUGAUCCAUGGGUACAAAUACACCAUGGAGCAUCCAUGGAGUAUCAUAUGGGUUUUAGCCCAACUAGAUAAUCCAUGGAGCAUUAGCCUACUAUAUAAGUAUGGAUGAUUUGCACAAUCAACCCAUAUAUUUAAUUUGUCUUCUUUUGAUCACUUAAUUAAUCCUAGAUUAAUUCUUGAUGCCAUGCAACCCAAAUGGACCAUGCCGGGUCGGGUCAGGUCUUACCAAUUAUAGUUAUGGACAUAGAUAUUAAUCCAACAAUUACUGUCUCAGAAUUACUCGUGAUAAAUUCCAUGAAGUAAUUUUCUGAGCGUGGGUUAAUCCAAUACUUAAAUCUCCAUUUCAAAGUACUCAUGAAUAUUAUAGCAACACUACUGCCAUGUCCAAAACUCUUUAGACAAUCUGCAAUCUAACUCAUGACAAAGUUGAUUCACCACUUACUUCGAAAAGUAUGAUCGAAUGUGGAUGUUUGAACAAACAAAUUAUUCUGGAAGUAAAACAUGCAAAAAUAAAACAUAAAAUAAAUAAUAGACAGAAGGUAGUAAUCCAACUCAUAAAUAAAUCUCCGUUAUUUAAUCACCAAAAGUCAAUUACAUUUAUUUCGUUACUCGUUUCAAAACUAACUAUCUAAAUGCUAAAAACAAUAUAAUCCUUCAGACUAAUGCUCCUAGCAUGUUGUAUGUGCUUGACCCUACCGAGACCCUUUGUGAGGGGAUCUGCAGUGUUUUCUUUUGACGAUACCUUCUUCAUGACGAGGUAACCUUCUUCUACCCUAUGUCUGAUAAAAUGAUUUUUUUGUUCGACAUGUUGUGAUCUUCCUUGAUCUCUUGGAUCCUUUUGUUAAGGUAACCUAUAAUGCUCCGCAAAUUCUGGCUAGUCAAUUUAGAGACAAUGAGCGUCAAAAAUAAAAUUUUUGAUAUAAGGUUAUUUAGAAUAAAUAAUCCUAACCAAAGUAUAGUAUAUGUCACAAGGGUUUCGUACAUAUAAAGAAUGCUGAAAUCCGAGUUAUGAGAAAUUACUUUUUAGCCUUAGGGAUCUAAACUAUAGUAAUAGUAUAUGUUAAACUGAGAACGUACGUAAAAAGAACGUCCAAAUCUGACUUUGUAUGAGGAAGUUAUGACUUUUCUAAGAUUUAGCAUAACAAUGCAGAACCCGAACUUGAAUUUUAGAUCGAUCGAUUUUUAGCCGACACAAUCUAAAUGAGAAUUGAAGAUCUCGUUAAUAGGAACUCAACAAUAUAAAGGCAGAUGAAAACAGACGUCAGAUGACAAAGUUAUGAAUUUUUAACGGACUUUAUUUGUCGAAGCUUGUUAAAUUAUAAUUUUAAAAAUAAUAUCAAAAUUAACCGAUGGAGUCUAAAUCAAAGUUGUAGAUCACAUCGCUACCUACACGUUGAUAUAAAGAACAUAAAAUAAAAAGCUUGUAUGUAAAAGUUAUGAAAUUUAGAAGUUUAAAUUUUGGGAUUCAGAUACGAGGGUACACGUGGCCAAAUCCUCAGCUUCUCUUCCUCUCCACGGCUUCGCAUGUGAUGGUGACACGUGCCUGCGGUAUGGGGAAUCUGGUUUGAAGAUACGCAUAGGGUUGUUGGAUUUCAGAACAGAUUAAAUGCCAAAUGGUCCUGCCCUUUAGUGUUUCAUGUAUGGCUUCUGUUUGUACAUAGUAGUUGAAAAGUAUUGUUUAACACUUAUAAAACAAUAUCGCUCGUAGACCUUGAGCUAAUUAUUCGCAAUAAAUAUUAGAAUAAAACUUAGCAAUAAUAAUGAUAGGUUUCGUCGAAGGAAAAGACGAUUAUUAAAAGCGAAGCACUGUCCAAAUUUUGAGUCAUCAAUUUAACAAGUGAGUGCGUAGUUAAAUUCAUCUUACACAUAGAUAUGAAGUAUUAAAUAUAAAUUAUGUGCUAUGUGUGCAUAUUAUCCGUGGUCUUGAUAUCUAUGAUGGAUGAACAAAAUAUACACGUUUUACUUGAUUUAAACUAUAUAUGUAUUUUUAUACCUAUAAAUAUAUCGGGUAAAGAUGGGUAGAUGAAUGAUGAGAGAUGAAAGAUGAUAUACAUGAUGAGAGGUGAAAGAUGAUAAGAAGCCUUCACUGAUGCGAUGAUCCAGUCAUCUACUAGAGCAUAGAUGACAACCACAUACUAUUCUAGACAGUCCAGUAGAACGCUAACAGGCUCGCAACCUGUAGGUGUUGUGAACAAUAUGUUCACCAAAUGUUCACUAAAAAACCCCCGCGGCUAUGGACUUAGUGCCUUACAAAUGAACACUGGCAGCUAUGGAUUUAGUGCCCUAUAGAUAAAUAUUGGCAGCAAUGGACUUCGUGUGUAAUAGAUAACAUCGGCCGCUAUGGACUUAGUGUCUGUUAGAUAAACCCUGGAAGUGAUGGACUUCGUGCCUAUUCCUUAGGACAAUCCUUAGGAAGAAAUAUUAAUGAAUAAAUGAUUCUUAGGGAUGAUACUUAAGAAUAAAUAAGAUAAUGGGGAUGGGUAAUUGGGUUAAUUGUUUGAUGAUGAAACAUAUUAACUAUAUUAUUGUGGGUUGAAAACCCUUUAUACACACCAGGUUUCCCAACCCGACCCACUUGGUUUAUUUGGAUCAUAGGUAUCGAUACAAAGACACAUUACAUUGAGAGAUUAAAGGAGAUGUAAAUCAUUGGUGUAAAUGAAUGUAAUGUUUGUUUAUGCUUAUGUUUCUGUAUUGACGACGACAUCCCAAUGUUUUAAUAUAAAUUAAAUACAUUUAUUCGGAAAUGCUUUAAUAAUAUUAUUUUCAAGUUUUUCUUGGAACAAAUUCUGCAAUAAUAUUCUUUAGAAUGAAUAAUCUGAUUUUUAAAUAGGCAUAAAUAAAAGUUUUAAAAUGACUAUUAAUUUGGGGAUAUCACACAACCGCCCCUUCUUUAUCACAAAAAAUCUCCAUUAACUCCUUGAUGGCUGGUACAACUCCAAGGUCUCUGAUGAAUUUCUUCGAUGAAAUAGCCUCCUUUGAUGCUUCUCAUACCGCUAUGUACUCUGAUUAACAAGUAGAAUCAACCACUGUCUCCUGUUUAGAACUUUCCAGGUUACCGCUCCUACACUAAGGGUAAACACCCAGCUAGAUUGAGAACGAAAGUUGUCUCUGUCUGUCUAAAAGUUGGUGUCACUAUACCCAAUUACUCUUAAGUUAUCACUACCACCAAGCACCAGGACCCACUCCUUAGUUCUUCGCAAAUACUUAAGAAUAUUCUUAACUGCUACCAGUGAGCUUUACCUCGAUUUCCUUGAUAACUACUGACCAUGGUCAAAGCAAAUGCCACAUCAGGGCGAGUACAUGUCAUAGCAUACAUGAUAGAUCCAACGGCAUAAGCAUAUGGAACUCUACUCAUUUCUACUAUAUUUGCAUCAAUACUCGGGCUCUGAGUCUUACUCAGUUUGGUACUACUCUGUAUAGGCAUUUCUCCUUUCUUGGAAUACUCCAUACUAAAACGUUUUAGUACCUUUUCCAAGUAUAUACAUUGACUGAGUCCAAUUAGCCUCUCCUAGAUCCUUCAUAGUGAAACACUUUCCAUGCCAAGACAUAACCUCUUGCAAAGUUGGAAGUUUGUUUCCUAUAAGAAGUAUGUCAUUAACAUACAAAAGUAGGAAGUUUACUAUACUCCCACUAGCUUUGACAUAUACACAAGAUUCAUGUUUACUUCUAGAGAAACCAAAAUCUUUUAGCUUCUCUUUAAAACGAAGAUUCCAUCUACAAGAAGCUUUUUUCAAUCCAUAUAUUGAUUUCUAAAGUUUACACACUCUAUUUGGAUACUUUGCAUCUACAAAACCCUCUGGCUGACUCAUGUAAACAUCCAUUUUUUAAAUUUCAUAGUCAUGAAACGCAGCUAUGGCUAGCAUUACCCUAAUAGAUUUUAUCUUAGUUACUAGUGAGAAGGUCUCAUUAUAGUGAACCCUUGGGGUUUAAGUAAAUUCCUUCGCAACCAAUCGAGCCUUGAAGGUGUGUACAUUUCCAUCCAUGUCUGUCUUCUUCUUGAAGAUCCAUUUGCACCCAACUAUCAUGUGACCUGGUACAUUAUCAACCAAAUUCCAAACUUGAUUGUCAUACAUGGACUUGAUCUCGUUGUCCGUUGCCUCUUUCCAUUUGGCUGAGUCAGGGCCUGCCAUGGCUUCCUUGUAGUUAGCUGGUUCAUCUAAAUUUACCAGUGUACCACCACUUAUAAAUGUAUCACCAUCUAUAGUAAUAUGGAAACCAUAAACUCAUGUGGCAUUCUAACUCUACUAGAACGUCUAAGAUGUAAUGACGUCAACUGGUUCUACUGGAAUUACUUCCUCAGAUUAAGCUCUAGCAUUUUCAAAAGUUCCUUCGUCGUUUGACUCUUGAAUUUAUUCAAGAUGAAUGGUACUCCUAAUGUCCUCAUUGCAUAUGAUCUCUCUCUCUCUCUCUCUCUCUCUCUCUCUCUCUCUCUUUCUCUCUCUCUCUCUCUCUCUUGAAAGACUCCCUUUCGUACUACGAUGACCACGUUCUCACAAGGUCUGUAUAACAAAUAUUCAAAGGACUUCUGUGGGUGGCCGAUGAAAAUACAUCUCUCACUUUGACGUUCAAGCUUGUUGUGAGUCUCUCGUCUAACGAAAACUUCACAUCCCCAAACCUUGAUAUGUGCCAAUGAGGGAACCUUUCCUAUCCACAUCUCAUGAGGUGUUUUGGCAACUUUAUUUGUUGGGACAAGAUUAAGAAUGUGGACGAUAGUCUCUAAGGAAUACCCCCAUGAGAUUAGAAGUGAAGCUCGACUCAUCAUGGAACGAACCAUGUCUAACAAGGUCCGAUUAUGCCUCUAAGCCACACCAUUAAGUUGUGGUGUUCUAGGAGGUGUCAUAUAUGAAGCUAUUCGACAUUCUUUGAGGUAGUCGUGAAACUCAAUACUAAGAUACUCACCGCCUCUAUAAGAUCUAAGCAUCUUUAUCUUCCUGCCCAAUUGAUUCUCGACUUCAUGUUUAAACGCUUUGAACUUUUCAAAGCUUUCUGACUUAUGCUUGAUUAAGUAUAUAUAGCCAUGUCUAAUAUAAUCAUCAGUGAAGUCACAUAGAAUUUCUUUUCAUCCCUUGUGGUAGAUCUGAAGGGCCCACACACAUCUGUGUGUUUGAGAUCCAACAAUCCUUCGCCUCUUUCACAAGAACCAGUGAAGGGUGAUUUUGAAAUCUUUCCCCAUAAACAAGCCUAACAUGUAUCAUCUGACCUUAAGUCAAAUGAUUCUAACAAUCCAUACUUUUGGAGUUGGGCCAUGUGUUUCUUAUUAAUGUGUCCAAGACAACAAUGUCACAAGCAUGCUUUAUCAUACCAUUAGAUGAAUCAAUUUGAAAAACACUAUUUUGUAAAUUGUCUACAAUCAUCAAAGUUUCAUACACACCAUCACAAGGUAAAGCUUAAAAAUAAAAAACACCAUUUUUAUAAGCAUAAAUAGAACCAUUAUCAUAAUUAAAAGUAUAUCUAAAACCUUGUUUAAACAAAGAGUGAAAUGAAAUGGUGUUUCGUUUCAUCUCUAACGAGUAGCAACAAUUUAUUAAUUCUAACCCUAUCCCACUACUAAGCACUAAGCUAUCAAAUCCAAUCUUGGUGACAAGUGAAGAUUGUCUAUUCCACUUGAUCAAGUCCAUACUUUCAUGCUCCACAUCCUCACUUCUUAUAACCCUAGUAAAUCUAAACAAUUUGAAACCCACAUCCUGUAUUAAGGACCCAAGAUCAAGAAUAUGAUGAGUUCUUAGAUAAGAUCGCGUAAAUACCUACCGAUGUUGGCUCUACCUUGCCAUCCUUGAAAUCCUGCAAGUAUUUUGGGCAACUUCAUUUCCAAUGCUCCUUUUCAUUGCAAUAGAAUCAAGUAGCCUCCAAGGGAUCAGAAACAGGAGGAGCAUCAGAACAGGAUUUUCCUUUCGGUCCUGUACUUGAAUUCCCAGCUUGGGAAUUUCCCAUAUAGAUUUUUUUUGGAGGGCCUUUUUGAUGGGUUUUGAGCAUUCUAACACUUCCUAAGUGUACANNNNNNNNNNNNNNNNNNNNNNNNNNNNNNNNNNNNNNNNNNNNNNNNNNNNNNNNNNNNNNNNNNNNNNNNNNNNNNNNNNNNNNNNNNNNNNNNNNNNGCAAAUGCAAGAAUUCCAAACUCAUGUCAUUUACUGAAAUCUGUUGUAUUCUAAACUUAUAUGAGUUGAUCCUCUUGUAAUGAUUAUGCACAAUGUCAGAAAGACUUGACAAUAAUCAUUAAAGAGUAUUCCAAAGGAGAUCAGCUCCUUGGAAACAUCCUUNAGUUUCCUUAAUCUUACACAGAUUGAAAAUUCUAACUUUGAAACAUUUCCAGAUUCCAUUUUGACUAUCACUUCUGAACAAGAGUUGCCUCCUUACAGAUUAUGUCAAUAUGGUCCUUCCAGAAUUAUCACUAUACUUCCAACUGUCCUUGAGCAACCAAUCUUUGGUAAACCUUAGAUUGUCCUCGACAAUUGUUUAAUCCUUUUAGUCAUAUCCAGUUCUAAACCUUUUCCCUUCUUAAUGCCCCAGGCAUUUGGAAAAUUUUAGAAAGGAUGAAUAUAGCACAUGUAAUCGAUCCUAUAUCCGAAGCAUAUGGGACACGAUUCAUGAUGUCUCACAUAAAGAUUAAACUAGUCUUUUGCUAUAACAUUUCCAUUUCAAUUUGCCAAGCUCUCAUAAUUCAAAUUAUGAAAAGGGAUGUCGUAAUCAUAAUUGAAUUUUAGAACAAAAAUAAUGGACCCAUAUACAGAAUUUCCUUAUGUUGAGCGAUUCCAACAUGAAAUUCAUAUAUUUCCUUGACUAAAUGAUUAAAAUCUCACUAAGCUUAUAGAUUUGAGAUGAAGUAUAAUUUCCUCUCCCUUAAUUAUAGCAAAACCACUCUUUCCCAAUUGAAACUUUUGUUUUCUAUAAUUAACAUUGCUAGCUUGCAAUACUUAUCAUAAUUAUCCUGCUCCCACUAUCAUGAUGAUUAUUAGCAUAACACUUAUGCUACCACUAGCUUCGACAUGUACUCAGAAGUCAGAUGACUUUCUUACCAAAGUUCAGAUUUCUGAUACUAGAUUGUUUUGAUAAUACUUUAUCAAAAUCAUACACCUUCCCUUAGAUAGCACACUUGUGUAUCUAAACAAUUAUGAAGAGGGAUGCCGUAAUCAUAAUGUUUAGACCUUUUUGCCACUUCUCACAAGUCCAAAUUAGUGUGCCGGUUAACCACACGCGCUCCACUAACGACUUUGAGAAUGCAAAUAUCACAAUUGCUAUCUAGCUAAAAUCUACUUAGUGAAAGUGUUUCCUCACCAUCAUUUUCAUGAAUCGGAGAGAAACCUUAGGACACUUAGAUUUAAUGGUGUAUGUGUUCUUAUCCAUGUGAAUUGUCAAAACCAUAGACACAAGGCAAGGAUAAUGACAAAUCCAAACUCAUAUGGACUGAACUCAAUCUUAAUUUCUUGCCACCUGGCAGCUCAAGGGCCUGCCAUUGCUUCCAAGUUGUUAUGCAACAAACUGAGAACUCUAAGAACUCAUAUGCAAAGCCAACUUUAACUGGAAUGGGCACAGAUAUGUCAACACGAUAGGUUAUAAACCUCAAGUCGUGUGCUAGUGAAGAACUUUAGGUUUUAUUCUUGAUUAUUUCUUGAGACUUUCAAGACCUUUAAGACUCCCACU
Molecule: long non-coding RNA, 18433 nt
Filed under: Lactuca sativa (garden lettuce)
Lineage: Eukaryota; Viridiplantae; Streptophyta; Magnoliopsida; Asterales; Asteraceae
Description: long non-coding RNA (LSAT_LNC010029)
Source: RNAcentral